AUAAGUUCGUUCCCUCUUUUUUCCGCUGCUUUAAACUCUUUACCCUCGCCUCUCGAUUUCUUUCUCCUCCCAAUCAAAACCGAUUACUCUUGCAUUCUCUUCUGUACUAGCAGUGCGGUUGUUAUCCCUGUGAAGAACUGCCGUUGCCCGAAUCGAGUUAGCUGCAAGAUGUAGUUAGCUGCAAGAUGAGGAAGAAGGUUGAUGCUCGCAUAAGGACUUUGAUUGAAAAUGGAGUAAAGGCUAGGCAUCGAUCAAUGUUUGUUAUUAUUGGCGAUAAGUCACGUGAUCAGAUUGUAAAUCUCAACUAUAUGUUGAACAAGGCUAUGAUCAGAUCUAGGUCCAGUGUUUUGUGGUGCUAUAAAGAAAAAUUAGAACUGAGCAGCCACAAGAAAAAACGUGCAAAGCAGAUUAAGAAGCUAAUGCAAAGGGGACUCCUUGAUCCUGAAAAGGUUGACCCUUUCUCUUUGUUCAUUGAAAGUGGAGUGGUUUCUUAUUGCUUAUAUAGGGAUUUGGAGAGAAUACUGGGUAAUACAUAUGGCAUGUGUAUUUUACAGGAUUUUGAAGCAUUGACACCAAAUAUUCUUGCAAGGACUAUUGAAACUGUGGAAGGUGGUGGUUUGGUGGUUUUGCUUCUUCGUACACUCUCUUCACUUGCUAGUCUAUGCACAAUGGUCAUGGAUGUUCAUGAAAGGUUUAGAACGGAAUCGCAUCCUGAAGUAGUUUCUCGGUUCAAUGAACGGUUUCUGUUGUCUCUUGCAUCAUGUAAGGCAUGCUUGGUCAUGGAUGACGAGCUUAACGUUUUGCCAAUCUCAUCACACAUAAAGUCUGUCAUUAGGCCAUCUAUCUCUGAGGGUUAUGAUUCUACGGGAACACAAGAAGAACUAAUGAAUUUGAAGGAACAACUUCAUGAUGUUUUACCCAUCGGGCCUUUACUUGGAAUAUGUACAACACUGGAUCAGGCAAAAUCUGUUUCCGCCCUCCUUGAUGCCACUUUGGAUAAAACAUUUCGGAGCACUAUUGCACUGAUUGCUUCUCGUGGACGAGGCAAAUCUGCAGCUUUGGGUUUGGGAAUUGCAGGAGCUAUAGCUGCAGGGUAUUCACAUAUUUUUGUUACUGCUCCUUCCCCAGAAAACUUGAAAUCACUAUUUGGCUUCAUUUGUAGGGGACUGCAUGCGUUGAAUUAUGAGGAGCAUUUGAACUAUGAUUUGGUGAGAAGUACAAAUCCUGAGCUCGGGAAGGCAAUUAUACAAGUACAUGUUUACAAGGAACAUAAGCAAAUAGUUCAGUACAUUGAGCCCCAUGAUCGUGUAAAGCUCUCCCAAGUGGAACUUCUAGUUAUUGAUGAAGCAGCAGCUAUUCCAUUGCCUAUUAUCAAGUCAUUGCUGGGGCAAUAUCUGGUCUUUAUAUCAUCCACGGUGAAUGGAUAUGAAGGCACAGGUCGCUCUUUGUCAUUGAAGCUUUUUAGUCAUUUAGAAAAGCAAAGUCAGAAUCUUGCUUGUGGUGCCAAUUCCAAUUACUCUGGAAACCUAUUCCAGAAAAUAGAAUUAAAGGAGCCCAUCAGAUAUGCAUCUGGGGAUCCUAUUGAGUCUUGGCUUAACAGCUUACUGUGCUUGGAUGCUAUGCAUUUUGUACCUCCUAUCAGCAGGUUCCCUCAUCCUUCUGAAUGCAAUUUGUAUUAUGUAAAUCGAGAUACUUUGUUCUCCUUCCACAAAGAUAGUGAAAUAUUUCUACAGCGAAUGGUGGCUCUUUAUGUUUCCUCUCACUACAAAAACUCUCCUAAUGAUCUACAAUUAAUGGCUGAUGCUCCGGCACACCAUCUAUUUGUAUUGCUUGGACCUGUUGACGAGGCACUAAAUAUUCUUCCAGACAUUUUGUGUGUUAUCCAAGUGUGCCUUGAAGGAAAGAUUUCAUGUAAAUCUGCACAGCAAAGCUUGCAAAUGGGGCACCUGCCCUCUGGUGAUCAAAUUCCAUGGAAGUUUUGUGAAGAGUUUGAGAAUACAGAUUUUCCAAACCUCUCGGGUGUUCGAAUUGUCAGAAUAGCAGUUCACCCCAGUGCUCUAGGGCAUGGAUACGGUUCGGCUACCCUGAAUCUUCUAACAAGAUACUACGAGGGAAGGUUGACUGCUACUGAUGAGACAAAUGUUGAAAAGAAUGUAAUGAGGCCUCAUGACAACUUCAUUCAAGCAGCAAAGAAGGUCUCAUUGCUAGAAGAAACUAUUUCUCCUAGAGAAAACCUUCCACCAUUGCUGAUACAUCCUUGUGAAAGAUUACCUGAGAGAGUCCAUUACAUUGGUGCUUCUUUUGGGCUAAACAGGGACCUUUUUUGUUUCUGGAAGAAACACAAAUUUACCCCUUUUUACAUAUGUGAUAAUCCAAAUAACACAACUGGUGAGCAUAGUUGCAUGGUGCUGAAGGCAUUGGAGACUGAUGAUGUUGAAGUUGGUGGUUUGGGUUCCCUUGACUUUCUUACUCCAUUCUAUCAGUGUUUCAAGAGAAAGUUUGUGAAACGCCUUCCUUUAUGCUUUCAAGAGUUGGAUUUUAAGCUUUGUAUCAGCAUCUUGGAUCCAAAGAUCAACUUCUCUGAAAUUGAGACGUCAUUAUGUUCAGAAAAAGAAGCGUCUACUUUGGUGAAAUUGAUUUGCUCUCCUAAUGAAUUGAAAUUACUGGAGUCUUACGCUAACAACCGUAAAGAUUAUGGGAAGGUCAAGCAUCUUGUGCCACUCUUUGCCUAUUACUACUUUGAAGAGAAGCUUCCAAUUACACUGUCCCAUCUCGAAGCGUCUCUUUUGUUGUGCAUGGGCUUGCAGCUUCACAGUAUAACUUACAUCGAGGAAAAAAUGAAGAUAGAAAGGCAACAAGUCCUGCAUUUGUUUCGUAGGGUUAUGGUGAAAUUUUACAAGUAUUUUUAUGAUGUUCUAACCAAAGAGUUGGAUAUACCUCAAGAAACAAUGGUUGCAUUGGAGCCGCAUAGUGUGUCACUUGAUGAGGAUUUAAAUGAUGGUGCUCAGCAAGUGAUGGUAAAUGUUCAAUGUUCUCAAAAGUGAACUUAUCACCAUGUUAAUCGGACUGAGAUUUCUAUGAUGGAUGCAGGAGAAGAUGAGAACGGAAAAUGUGGAUCUGCUGAAACCAGAGUCGCUGCAGCAAUACUCUGUUGAGGAUAGAGAAGGUGAACUUGAGCAAGCUCUUAAAAAAUGUAAUAAGAUAUCAUCUCCUAGUGGCCUUUUUAGUGUGAAGUCCAAUCGAAAAUUAUCUACAAAAAGCAAAAGGCCUGAAAAUAUUCUUAAAAGUCGAAAGAGGAAAAAGUACAAGGACUUUGCUCCUCUUAUCCAGAAGCAGUCGAACUAGAUUGUGGAAGACCAUUUCAUCUGCAUCUCUCAUGGUUUUUGGGUUUUGGGAGUUAGUAUUAGUACAAGAGGAGGGUUUUAACUUAAAAAUUUUGUUUAUGGAUGAUCUAAUUUAUUUUAUUGUUUUGGUACUAAUUCAUGGUGUAAUAUAUUAGCUUAUAGCUUACUGUUAUUUUCCUACAAUUUUCUUUGCAUGAGUAUCACUAUUAACUGAUGAAAAUCACCAGAGACUGCCAGUCCGUAUGAAAAGAUCAAUUGUCCAAGUUUGAAAAUUACAACGAACAGAACAAAAGAAAAAAAAUGUAACAUCAAAAACCAAAGCGGCCAGAUUUAUGUGAAUC
RNAcentral lists this unclassified non-coding RNA (3685 nucleotides) under Hevea brasiliensis (rubber tree). The record is from RNAcentral. Lineage: Eukaryota; Viridiplantae; Streptophyta; Magnoliopsida; Malpighiales; Euphorbiaceae.